Molecule: long non-coding RNA, 522 nt
Organism: Biomphalaria glabrata
Lineage: Eukaryota; Metazoa; Mollusca; Gastropoda; Planorbidae
Exons: 5
Source: RefSeq, a predicted model, not a curated record
AGAUGAUGACGAUGAUGGUCUGAUAGAUGAAGACCUAAAAGACUAUGACGAUGUUGUGUGCAGACCUGGAAAGUUUGGUGCAAGCUGCUUAAAGAACUGCACAAGUUGCUUCGCACUUUGCCACAAAGACACGGGGCAGUGUCUCAAAGGGGGUUGCCCCCCAGGAAACAAAUACACCUGUGAGGUCAAAUCUUCCACGUCUCCAGUGCCCAUUGAGAUCACUACUUCUGUGAUCAAUAUCACAUCUACUGAGUUCGUUACUGAGCAGGUCAAAACCACAAAGAAAGAUUGCCCUAUUGGCUCGUAUGGUACGGACUGCACCGGAACGUGUAACAAUUGCGUGCCUGACUGUGACAAGGUGACAGGCAAGUGUGAAGAAUGUGCAGACGGCUUCAUCCUCACCGACUAUCAUUGCAAUCACACAUGUCCGCCAUUCAAAUUUGGAAAGAAUUGCUCAGGAGACUGUAUUCUACGGUGCCUUGGUUUUGAAUGUGAUGACGUCACCAACGGGAGCUGCCCACC